AAAACAAGAAACUUAUUGUAUUAUGGUUUCGGCCCAUAAUUAGGUGCCCACUGCACCCUUGUUUUU
Molecule: transfer RNA, 66 nt
Filed under: Sinanodonta woodiana
Lineage: Eukaryota; Metazoa; Mollusca; Bivalvia; Unionida; Unionidae
Description: tRNA-Arg
Source: RNAcentral